GGUCAGUGAUGAUGGAUAAACGCUCUGAUGGCACUUUAUUAAAUGCCCACAUGCUCGCUCCCAGGUGCUCCUGUGUUUUCCAUUCUGCACCAGUUGCGCUGUGAUGGACUUGGAGUUCCUGACAGUGACCGAUGCUGCUGUUUCAGUUGAUAUUCUCGCAGAGCAAUGUGGGAUGUCUUUACAGCGUGCAUCCUACAGAAUUCAUCCCAUAGGAGCUUUUGAGCAUGGUGGGAUUUCUUUCUGGUGCAUGAAUGCAAGUUUUCAAGCUGAGACC
Hemiscyllium ocellatum (epaulette shark) is the source of this 274-nucleotide non-coding RNA. RefSeq annotates it as small Cajal body-specific RNA 6. The transcript has a single exon. The record is from RefSeq and is a predicted model, not a curated record. NCBI's taxonomy places the organism in Eukaryota, Metazoa, Chordata, Chondrichthyes, Orectolobiformes, Hemiscylliidae.